RNAcentral lists this unclassified non-coding RNA (329 nucleotides) under soil metagenome. RNAcentral's name for it is "partial contains 5.8S ribosomal RNA, internal transcribed spacer 2, and large subunit ribosomal RNA". The stretch from base 1 to 120 matches the Rfam family "5.8S ribosomal RNA", at positions 35 to 154 of the family's 154-position model. The record is from RNAcentral.
GAUGAAGAACGUAGCGAAAUGCGAUAAGUAAUGCGAAUUGCAGAAUUCAGUGAGUCAUCGAAUCUUUGAACGCACAUUGCGCCCCCUGGUAUUCCGGGGGGCAUGCCUGUUCGAGCGUCAUUACAACCCUCAAGCUCUGCUUGGUGUUGGGCCCCGCCGCCCCGGCGGGCCCUAAAGUCAGUGGCGGUGCCAUCCGGCUCCGAGCGUAGUAAUUCUUCUCGCUCUGGAGGCCCGGGUGUGUGCUCGCCAGCAACCCCCAAUUUUUUUCAGGUUGACCUCGGAUCAGGUAGGGAUACCCGCUGAACUUAAGCAUAUCAAUAAGCGGAGGA